Molecule: ribosomal RNA, 459 nt
Filed under: uncultured bacterium
Lineage: Bacteria
Description: partial 16S ribosomal RNA
Rfam family: Bacterial small subunit ribosomal RNA
Source: RNAcentral
AGCGAACGCUGGCGGCAGGCCUAACACAUGCAAGUCGAACGAACCUUUCGGGGUUAGUGGCGGACGGGUGAGUAACACGUGGGAACGUGCCUUUAGGUUCGGAAUAACUCAGGGAAACUUGUGCUAAUACCGAAUGUGCCCUUCGGGGGGAAGAUUUAUCGCCUUUCGAGCGGCCCGCGUCUGAUUAGCUAGUUGGUUGAGGUAAUGGCUCACCCAGGCGGCGAUCGGUAGCUGGUCUGAGAGGGUAAUCCGCGACCCUGGGACUGAGGCAUGGCCCACACUACUGCGGGAGGCAGCAGUCGCGAAUCUUGCGGGAUGGGGGCAGGGGGGAUGCAGCCACACCGGGUGAAGGAUGAAGGCCUCCGGGCCGGAAAAAUCUUUAGGUUGGGAGGAAGGUAAAUGUGUUUAACCGGGGACGUCAUGACGGUACCCGGAGAAAAAGCCCCGGCUAACUUCGUG